GACGAACGCUGGCGGCGUGCCUAACACAUGCAAGUUGAGCGACGAACCAGGGCUUGCCCUGGGGCAAAGCAGCGAACGGGUGAGUAACACGUGGGUAACCUACCUCGAUAACCGGGACAACCCGAGGAAACUCGGGCUAAUACCGGAUGUGCUCACUGGACUUCGGUUCAGUGCGUAAAGGAAGCUUCGGCCUCCGUAUCGGGAGGGGCCCGCGGCCCAUUAGUUUGUUGGUGAGGUAACGGCUCACCAAGACCGCGAUGGGUAGCUGGUCUGAGAGGACGAUCAGCCACACUGGGACUGAGACACGGCCCAGACUCCUACGGGAGGCAGCAGUGGGGAAUCUUGCGCAAUGCGCGAAAGCGUGACGCAGCAACGCCGCGUGGGGGAAGAAGGCCUUCGGGUUGUAAACCCCUUUCAGGAGGGACGAAGGUUCGGCGGUGAAUAGCCGUCCGGACUGACGGUACCUCCACAAGAAGCCCCGGCUAACUACGUG
Molecule: ribosomal RNA, 493 nt
Filed under: uncultured bacterium
Lineage: Bacteria
Description: partial 16S ribosomal RNA
Rfam family: Bacterial small subunit ribosomal RNA
Source: RNAcentral